AGUCAAGAGUUUCGGAUACGCACGCCACGCGCAAACCCGAUCUCUCCAACCUUGCGAAGGCGAAGCCCCCGUGAGAUCUCCGGCCGCCGCCGCCGCCGCCAUGGACGCCGUCGACUCGGUGGUCGACCCGCUGCGCGAGUUCGCCAAGGACAGCGUCCGCCUCGUCAAGCGCUGCCACAAGCCCGACCGCAAGGAGUUCACCAAGGUGGCGGCGAGGACGGCGAUCGGGUUCGUCGUCAUGGGCUUCGUCGGCUUCUUCGUCAAGCUCAUCUUCAUCCCCAUCAACAACAUCAUCGUCGGAUCCGGCUGAUUUGAGCACUAAGGUAUAUAUAUAUAUAUUCUCUCGUCAUGAUCUGCCUCGAUCUGGUUGCUUCGUGUCGAUCGAUCUCCGUGUGCAUCCGGUUGUGUUUGUGGAUGCGAUGU
Molecule: long non-coding RNA, 423 nt
Filed under: Oryza sativa aus subgroup
Lineage: Eukaryota; Viridiplantae; Streptophyta; Magnoliopsida; Poales; Poaceae
Description: lncRNA OsNaBo_02g0006030
Source: RNAcentral